CUUUACUGCAACUUGACGUUGGAACUUGGCUGUAUUUGUGUAGGAUAGGUGGGAGACUUUGAAGCAGGGCCGCCAGGUCUUGCGGAGUCGUCGUUGAAAUACCACCCUGGUGCUGACGAGUUUCUAACCGUGUCCGUAAGCCGGACAUGAGACAGCGUCUGGUGGGCAGUUUGACUGGGGCGGCCGCCUCCUAAAAGGUAACGGAGACAUUCAAAGGUCCCCUCAGCGUGGUCGGUAAUCACGCGCAGAGUGCAAACGCAUAAGGGGGCUUAACUGCGAGACCGACGGGUCGAGCAGGUACGUAAGUAGGAGUUAGUGAUCCCGCGGUUUAGCGUGGAAUUGCCGUUGCUCAAUGGAUAAAAGGUA
Molecule: ribosomal RNA, 366 nt
Filed under: uncultured organism
Description: bacterial LSU rRNA
Rfam family: Bacterial large subunit ribosomal RNA
Source: RNAcentral